GACGAACGCUGGCGGCGUGCCUAAUACAUGCAAGUCGAGCGGGCCUCCGGAGGUGCUUGCACCUCCGGAAGGCCAGCGGCGGACGGGUGAGUAACACGUGGGCAACCUGCCUUUGAGGCCGGGAUAACACCGGGAAUCCGGUGCUAAUACCGGAUACGUCCUCUUUCGCGCCUGCGAGAGGGGAGAAAGACGGUCUUUAAGGCCGUCGCUCAAAGAGGGGCCCGCGGCGCAUUAGCUGGUUGGUGGGGUAAGGGCCUACCAAGGCGACGAUGCGUUGCCGACCUGAGAGGGUGAUCGGCCACACUGGGACUGAGACACGGCCCAGACUCCUGCGGGAGGCAGCAGUAGGGAAUCAUCCGCAAUGGGCGAAAGCCUGACGGUGCAACGCCGCGCGAGUGAGGAAGGUUUUCGGAUCGUAAAGCUCUGUUGUGAGGGAAGAACAGCUUCCGGAGGAAAUGCCGGAGGUUUGCCGGUACCUCACCAGAAAGCCCCGGCUAACUACGUGCCAGCCGCCGCAGUAA
This 521-nucleotide ribosomal RNA is filed under the name uncultured bacterium. Its description in RNAcentral is "partial 16S ribosomal RNA". It matches the Rfam family "Bacterial small subunit ribosomal RNA", at positions 28 to 523 of the family's 1533-position model. The record is from RNAcentral.